This is a long non-coding RNA of Crotalus tigris (Tiger rattlesnake), 2511 nucleotides long. RefSeq lists it as uncharacterized. The transcript has 2 exons. Lineage: Eukaryota; Metazoa; Chordata; Lepidosauria; Squamata; Viperidae. The record is from RefSeq and is a predicted model, not a curated record.
AGAGAUUAAUACAUUUGUUUUAUUAUUCCAAGUUUUAUGUAAACAAGAUGAGGCAAUUCUUAUGUUUGCUUUUGAGAGGGUACAGAAUUUAUAGUAUUAUGUCAUGAUUUUAAUGUCUAAACUUGCUGAAAUGUUCUAAAAAAAUUGUUAUUGUUCAUUGUUCAUGUUUGGCUUAGCAGUAUAGAUAAUUUAAAAGCAGGAAUUUACAUCUGAUAGCAGAUAAUCACCCGAUCACUUAAGCUGGCAAAAUCACCAAUUAUUAUUUUGAGAAUGUACCUAUCCUAACCUUCAGAAUGACAAAAUUUGACUCUGAAUAGCUUAUAUUUGAAUGUAGUAAAACAGGUUAACUCAAUAUUUUUGUACUGUUAUAUACAUAGACACAAAAGUCAGUUUGACGUAGCAAAGGCAGCAGGCUAGAAAGCAGGAAACUGUAAGUUCUAGUUCCAUCUUAACAUAAAGCCAGCUGGGUGACCUUGGGCCAGGAGAGCUAACCAGUUCUGAAAAACCUUGGCAAGAAAACGUUUGUCCAAGAAUCAGACAUGACUAAUAUGGAAAUUACACACACACACGCACACACACACACACACAGAGAUGCAUCUUAUGAGAAUAUUGAAAGACUCCUGUGCCUACUUUGCAUGAAUACUUGGAUGGGCUUGGAUGCUUGUCUACUAUAGCAAAAGAACCAUCAUGCAAAUUCCAGUCUUCCAAUUCCUUAUUGUGGAAGAGGGCAUCUGAUGGUGAGAUAUACCAGAAUAAUGGCAGUAGAAAGCAUCCAUUCAAUUAGCAUCACUGAAUAUCGGCUGACUAUAGGCCUAUGGAAAGAAAAUCUCUGUCCAAAAUUACACCCUUCCCAAAUGAUAUGAAAUUGUUUUUCUAUCUGAUGAUUAGGAACACAAGAUGUUUGCAGGCAGGUUCAGAUGGCUCUCCUUCUGUUCUAAGGAGGGGAAGCUUAUCAAUAGAUUGAUCAGCCAAGCAUAAAUAUGCAUUAGAUGUGAAAUGGGCAAAUUUGUGAAUACUUAGACAGUUUACAAUACACUGAAGGGAAGAGCCAUGCUUUGAUAACAGGCUCACAGAAAUUUUCUGAGUGGCAUAUAUAUGGAUAUGGGGGGAAGUAGUUCUCUGGCAGAUUUACAGAUACCAGGCAACUCUCUCUUUGAUGGCAUUCCACAAUGAAUUUAUAAUUUCAUGAAUAUAAAAUUUUCAUGAAAACUUGGUCUGUGUCAUAACAAUUUGUUGUUCUUCUGGGCAGUUACAAAGACAAUUGGUAGAAAUCAGAAUAUUUGUUUGUAGGUGGCAUGGUUCAGUUGUUGUAAUUUGGAGCACAUGCUGUGUGUGGAAGUUUCCUUUGUAUUCUUGAUCUCUAGAGACAAAAAGGACAAAGCAUGGAAAGCAUGAUGGGAGAUCUAUAGUACCAUUAGGCUCAGGUUUCCUAUGCAUUACUGAUAAAACCUUUCUCUUGAUUUCGGUUUCCAUUAGAUAUACUCCCAUGCCUCUUUAAGCAGGUUCUUCCCUUUAAAUAAGCCUGCGGUCACAAGUGGAGUGCAUAUUUCAGGGUUUUUUUUUUUUUUUAGUUAAAGUUAUGUCUUGGUUGCAAUAUCCAAGGACACUGUUCUAGCAAGAAAUUAGAGACAAUUUAAUUUAGACUGACAUCUGCUAUAAAGAACACAACUUUGGCUACUUUAUUUACCUUAUCUUGCUUCCUUCAGUUCUGAACCAUAAACUAGAGAAGCUGGUUUGAUUACAAUAUAGUGGUUACAAACUAAGAAAACAGACAGAAAAGAAGACGAUAACUAAGCUUCAAGAGGGGAAUAAGACCUAUAUGGACAACAGAAACAUUCAAAGAGUUUUUUGGAAUUAAUAUACGAAUUUAUAUAAAGAACAAGAAAUCUCUUUAGAUACAAUAGAGGAGUAUAUAACAACUAAAAAUGUUCCUCAACUGUCGGAAAACUACAAGCAAAUUUUGAAUAGUUGAAUAACAACUUUUGAAAUAAUAGAACCAAUUAAAAGAGCUGAAACAGGCAAAACUCUGGGACCAGAUGGCCUACCGAGCGGAUUUUAUAAAAUUUUCGAAGAUCAACUACUUCUUCCGAUAAAAGACUUAAUGAAGUCCAUCUUACAGGGGAAUCCUAUACCAGACUCUUGGAAAGAUGCCUACAUUUCUUUAAUACCCAAAGAUAAACUGGAUGUGACUUCUGUGAAGAACUACAGCCCAAUUUCUCUCCUUAAUGACUUAAAAAAGUUUUUACAGGAUUAUAUACAUAAAGAUCAGAGUGGUUUCCUAUCUAAAAGACAACUAAAAGAUAAUGUUGAAGAAUGCAGCUUUUCAAAAGGACUGAAUGAGGUACAGCAGACAAACCUCACAGAAUCACACAGCUGAAAGGGACAUGCAUCUCAGAAGAAAUUCAUGCAGUGUUACAACUAAUUCAUUUUAAUUGUGUAAGCCAUCAUCAUUUGAGAAUAGCUUUCCAAGUCUAAUAAUAAAUGUACAAUAAGUAAUCCUGCACAUAGAAA